Molecule: unclassified non-coding RNA, 192 nt
Filed under: uncultured Trechispora
Lineage: Eukaryota; Fungi; Basidiomycota; Agaricomycetes; Polyporales; Polyporaceae
Description: sequence contains ITS2
Source: RNAcentral
AAUCAUCAACCCCUUCCGCUUUUGCGGUGAGGGGUUGGAGCUGGGGGCCUGCUGCCGAGAGGUGGCUCCCCUCAAAUGCAUCGGUUUGGGGCCUGCGGGUCAAACUCGACUGGGCGUUGUACCAUCCUCGCUCCCGAGAGCCGCGCCUCUACCAAGACCGCCUGUGGAGCGGCGGUCAGCAUUGAUUUUGAA